GAUGAACGCUAGCUACAGGCUUAACACAUGCAAGUCGAGGGACCGGCGCACGGGUGAGUAACACGUAUCCAACCUGCCCUUUACUCGGGGAUAGCCUUUCGAAAGAAAGAUUAAUACCCGAUAUAAAGGCUGGGGAUGCGUUCCAUUAGGUUGUUGGUGAGGUAACGGCUCACCAAGCCUUCGAUGGAUAGGGGUUCUGAGAGGAAGGGCCCCAACAUUGGAACUGAGACACAGUCCAAACUCUGACGGGAGGCAGAAGAGAGGAAUAUGGGUCAAUGGGCGCUAGCCUGAACCAGCCAAGUAGCGUGAAGGAUGAAGGUUUAUGGGUCUUAAAUGUCUUUUAUAUAAGAAUAUGUAUUAUAUGAAUAAGGAUCGGCUAACUCCGUGCCAGCAGCCGCGGUAAUUC
This 406-nucleotide ribosomal RNA is filed under the name uncultured bacterium. RNAcentral's name for it is "partial 16S ribosomal RNA". It matches the Rfam family "Bacterial small subunit ribosomal RNA", at positions 28 to 526 of the family's 1533-position model. The record is from RNAcentral.